AUGUCAGCAGCCGCGGUAAGACGGAGGGUGCAAGCGUUGUUCGGAAUUACUAGGCGUAAAGAGCGUGUAGGUGGUUAGCUAAGUCGGAUGUGAAAAUUCCGAGCUCAACUCGGAACCUGCAUUCGAAACUGGUUAACUUGAGUGUGGGAGAGGAGAGUGGAAUUCCUAGUGUAGCGGUGAAAUGCGUAGAUAUUAGGAAGAACACCAGUGGCGAAGGCGACUCUCUGGCCUAAAACUGACACUGAGACGCGAAAGCGUGGGGAGCGAACAGGAUUAGAUACCCUGGUAGUCCACGCUGUAAACGAUGGGCAUUAGGUGUAGGAGGUAUCCAAUCCUUCUGUGCCGAAGCUAACGCAUUAAAUGCCCCGCCUGGGGAGUACGGUCGCAAGGCUGAAACUCAAAUGAAUUGACGGGG
RNAcentral lists this ribosomal RNA (415 nucleotides) under uncultured prokaryote. RNAcentral describes it as "bacterial SSU rRNA". It matches the Rfam family "Bacterial small subunit ribosomal RNA", at positions 505 to 918 of the family's 1533-position model. The record is from RNAcentral.